This 212-nucleotide long non-coding RNA is filed under the name Elaeis guineensis (African oil palm). RNAcentral's name for it is "long non-coding RNA (EGUI_LNC033108)". The record is from RNAcentral. Lineage: Eukaryota; Viridiplantae; Streptophyta; Magnoliopsida; Arecales; Arecaceae.
AUUUCAUUAAUAAAAGAUCAUAUACAUGAAAAUCAUAAAAAUUUAAAAAUAAAUAAGGAGCGUAAAAUUCACUUACUUCAAUCAUUCUAGAUCUUUAGUCUUCCUUAAAUGAAUUAGAUAAUCCUAUUUAAAAUAUUAAAUCAGAAUCAAUUUUUAUUCUAUAAAUUCAAUAAAAUUAAAUAAUAACAGAAAGUGAUUGAUUGGGUGACCAA